AGGCGUAUAGCUCAGUUGGUUAGAGCACCACCUUGACAUGGUGGGGGUCGAUGGUUCGAGUCCGUUUACGCCUA
This is a non-coding RNA of Moraxella cuniculi DSM 21768, 74 nucleotides long. NCBI's taxonomy places the organism in Bacteria, Pseudomonadati, Pseudomonadota, Gammaproteobacteria, Moraxellales, Moraxellaceae. The record is from Rfam.